GGGAAGAGUGUCUCUGGGCAACGGAACCUUUCGUUGCCAAUGGUGAUGACCUGACCGUCAGGAAGUUCGUAACUCUUCUCUAGUGAAGAAGAAGAUGCGGCUGUUGCCAUUUCCUGCUCGAAGUCAAGAGCGACGUAACAAAGU
This 144-nucleotide ribosomal RNA is filed under the name Holothuria scabra. Its description in RNAcentral is "partial 18S ribosomal RNA". Lineage: Eukaryota; Metazoa; Echinodermata; Holothuroidea; Aspidochirotida; Holothuriidae. The record is from RNAcentral.